RNAcentral lists this ribosomal RNA (253 nucleotides) under uncultured bacterium. Its description in RNAcentral is "partial 16S ribosomal RNA". It matches the Rfam family "Bacterial small subunit ribosomal RNA", at positions 524 to 776 of the family's 1533-position model. The record is from RNAcentral.
UACGGAGGGUGCAAGCGUUAAUCGGAAUUACUGGGCGUAAAGCGCGCGUAGGCGGCUGGGUAAGUCGAUUGUGAAAUCCCCGGGCUCAACCUGGGAAUUGCAGUCGAGACUGCCCGGCUAGAGUGUGGGAGAGGGUGGUGGAAUUCCCGGUGUAGCGGUGAAAUGCGCAGAUAUCGGGAGGAACACCAAUGGCGAAGGCAGCUCGCUGGGACGUUACUGACGCUGAGACGCGAAAGCGUGGGGAGCAAACAGG